Molecule: long non-coding RNA, 203 nt
Filed under: Elaeis guineensis (African oil palm)
Lineage: Eukaryota; Viridiplantae; Streptophyta; Magnoliopsida; Arecales; Arecaceae
Description: long non-coding RNA (EGUI_LNC074320)
Source: RNAcentral
GGGUGUUGUUCCUGAGAUUGAGAAUCCAGUACCACUUUAUUGUGACAAUACUGGAGUUGUUGCUCAAGAAAAAGAAUCAAGAUCUCAUCAUAAAUCCAAGCAUAUUUUAAGGUGCUUCCAUCUCGUUCGUGAGAUUGUCGAAAGAUAAGAUGUAGUCAUUGAACGAGUAGAUACAAAGAACAACAUAGCAUAUUCAUUCACUA